This 1669-nucleotide long non-coding RNA is filed under the name Daphnia pulex (common water flea). RNAcentral's name for it is "uncharacterized LOC124200479". The record is from RNAcentral. Lineage: Eukaryota; Metazoa; Arthropoda; Branchiopoda; Diplostraca; Daphniidae.
GUUGCAGCAGUUCGUUACCAGCAGCAGCAGCAGUCUCAGCAGAAGCCCAAAGUUGUUUCAAUUGCAAAUUGCCAAGUUCAACAAUCUAAUCAACUUUGUCAAUUCGAAAUUAGAGCAGCAGCAAUAUUUCAACUAUCAACAUAUAUAGGCAUGCACGGACGUGAAACGAAAUCUCAGUUUUGACAUCUCAAGUGCCGGAUAUCCGGAUCGUUCAGUUCAGUGGGAAUUGCCAAAAGGAAAAGAAAAGAGCAGAGGCAAAGGAGACAUGAUGGAGUGAGAAAUUCGCCUUUCACCUUUGUGUGUUUGAAUAAAGAAUAACACGCUAAUUUGUGGCCAUCUCUCUCUCUCUAUAGCCACUGUGACUCGUGUGUUUUUGUUUGGACUGGGCAGAUGAUCGAUUGGGUCGCCACUUGACGACCUUUCUCCCAUCUUCCGAUGAAUAUUUACUACUCCCGACGAAUGGCCAAGAGAAUAUGAUGCAACCGCGAUCGAUAAUCGAUGUCAUUCACAUGUCUGGUGGAACAGCCCGGAAGAUGAUUUUUCCAUCCUGAAAUAGGAUCAGGACAACGUUGUUUUUUAGCCACCGGAGCGGUUGGAAGGAGUGAAUUGCCCUGUGACGCCAUCCUGCGGAUCUCUACGGAGGUAAUAUUCUAUUACUUAACAAGAGAAUCUAGCGUUGCAGGUGUGUACAGUAGCCGAGGUGUGUGUAUACCUGAUGUAUAGGACCCCACGGAGAACUAUAACUCUUUAUAUUAUAGACCUCUCUCUCUCUCAGCUGUUUUAUUUUUACUGCUGAAACGCUUGUCGAGGACUCGGUAUCAUCCGGAGUCGGUCCCAAUGGACGUUUGAAAGUGCUGUUGCUCUUUCCAUUCACUCGAUUCGACAAGACAGCUGGACCAACUGUUCCCAUUUGGAAUUUGACGGCUCGACCGGCUACUGGGCAGCAGCACUCAUUUAAUCACCACUUUCUGGGUAUUAUCAGCUCUGACGUUGAUCCCUUUUCCCCCUGGCAGUGCUCUGACGGAACAUUGGGAGAGUGGACUGUUGGGGGCUAACCUACUACUUCUGUUGCAUCACAAAUGAAGUCGCCAGCAUAUCCUUUAUAGAUAUCGAAUGGAAAGAAAAAUAUCAGAUUGUGAGAAACUUAGUUUGGAUAUUAUAUUUGUAGACGGACGUAAAUUCUUGAAGAAACCGCUUGCUGGCCCUGCUGAUAAAGAAGAUUCCCCCCCUAUAUGUAUAUAUAAGACGCGCGCGCAUUUGAAAUCGGGUUAGCUUUUUGUGUAUAUCAGAUGGGCUUAAUAUCCGGCAGUUUUUCAUUCUUCUUUUGCGCUGUGUGACAUUUCCAAGAGUGGAAAGAAGAAGAGCGGCCCGAUGGAAUUAGAAUGAAGCUUGCAUAUUAUACUAUAUAGAACCGUUUUCAAUUCCAAAUCGAUAUACAACAGAGAGUCUGCCCACUGCCUGGCCCUUGUCUUCUAGACUGAUCAAUACAAAAAAGAAAAGAUAUUGGAGGGAAAUUUGAGAAGAAAUCGACGCCUAACUGGCGUCGUGUAUUGCUAAGAAGAACAAAGGACAUGGGGAUCUCAACAUAAAGCUCAGCAUUGGGUAGCCAAAAAUAAAAAAAAUGUUGCUCAUUUUUCUUGGUCAUCCGCUUGAAAAGAUUCUCGCCAGG